ACUACGGGAGGCUGCAGUGAGGAAUAUUGGUCAAUGGGCGGAAGCCUGAACCAGCCAAGUAGCGUGCAGGAUGACGGCCCUACGGGUUGUAAACUGCUUUUAUACGGGAAUAACGCGCCUUACGUGUAGGGCUUUGCAUGUACCGUAUGAAUAAGGACCGGCUAAUUCCGUGCCAGCAGCCGCGGUAAUACGGAAGGUCCGGGCGUUAUCCGGAUUUAUUGGGUUUAAAGGGAGCGUAGGCCGCAUGUCAAGCGUGCUGUGAAAUGUCCGGGCUCAACCCGGGCCUUGCAGCGCAAACUGGCGUGCUUGAGUCCGCGGAAAGCAGGCGGAAUUCGUGGUGUAGCGGUGAAAUGCUUAGAUAUGACGAAGAACCCCGAUUGCGAAGGCAGCUUGCUGCAGCGGAACUGACGCUGAUGCUCGAAAGCGCGGGUAUCGAACAGGAUUAGAUACCCUUGUAGUC
This 460-nucleotide ribosomal RNA is filed under the name uncultured bacterium. RNAcentral's name for it is "partial 16S ribosomal RNA". It matches the Rfam family "Bacterial small subunit ribosomal RNA", at positions 338 to 795 of the family's 1533-position model. The record is from RNAcentral.